RNAcentral lists this transfer RNA (76 nucleotides) under Bacteroidota bacterium. RNAcentral's name for it is "Bacteroidetes bacterium tRNA-Met". It matches the Rfam family "tRNA". Rfam says of the family: Transfer RNA (tRNA) molecules are approximately 80 nucleotides in length. Their secondary structure includes four short double-helical elements and three loops (D, anti-codon, and T loops). The record is from RNAcentral. RNAcentral also lists the same sequence under 2 other names. Lineage: Bacteria; Pseudomonadati; Bacteroidota.
CGCGGGAUGGAGCAGUUGGCAGCUCGUUGGGCUCAUAACCCAAAGGUCACAGGUUCGAGUCCUGUUCCCGCCACCA